UGAACGCUGGCGGCGUGCCUAACACAUGCAAGUCGAACGAAGCAUACGGACCGGAGAUUCGUCGAAGGACCGUAUGACUUAGUGGCGGACGGGUGAGUAAUGUAUGAGCAACCUGCCUUUCAGAGGGGGACAACAGUUGGAAACGACUGCUAAUACCGCGUAACGUAUCGUGGGGGCAUCCUCGUGAUACCAAAGGAGCAAUCCGCUGAAAGAUGGGCUCAUAUCUGAUUAGCUUGUUGGCGGGGUAACGGCCCACCAAGGCGACGAUCAGUAGCCGGACUGAGAGGUUGAACGGCCACAUUGGGACUGAGAUACGGCCCAGACUCCUACGGGAGGCAGCAGUGGGGAAUAUUGGGCAAUGGGCGAAAGCCUGACCCAGCAACGCCGCGUGAAGGAAGAAGGUCUUCGGAUUGUAAACUUCUUUUAUGAGGGACGAAGGACGUGACGGUACCUCAUGAAUAAGCCACGGCUAACUACGUGCCAGCCGCCGC
RNAcentral lists this ribosomal RNA (491 nucleotides) under uncultured bacterium. RNAcentral describes it as "bacterial SSU rRNA". It matches the Rfam family "Bacterial small subunit ribosomal RNA", at positions 30 to 518 of the family's 1533-position model. The record is from RNAcentral.